RNAcentral lists this transfer RNA (63 nucleotides) under Escherichia coli. Its description in RNAcentral is "tRNA-Asp". It matches the Rfam family "tRNA", at positions 6 to 65 of the family's 71-position model. From Rfam's summary of the family: Transfer RNA (tRNA) molecules are approximately 80 nucleotides in length. Their secondary structure includes four short double-helical elements and three loops (D, anti-codon, and T loops). The record is from RNAcentral. RNAcentral also lists the same sequence under 10 other names. Lineage: Bacteria; Pseudomonadati; Pseudomonadota; Gammaproteobacteria; Enterobacterales; Enterobacteriaceae.
GGUAGUUCAGUCGGUUAGAAUACCUGCCUGUCACGCAGGGGGUCGCGGGUUCGAGUCCCGUCC